GAGCUCCCGCGGGUGGGGAGGGACACUGGUUGGCCGCUGGGACGGGGACAACGUCAGGCAGCGGCGUAGGGGACGCUGGUUGGCCACUGGAACAUGCUUGGGUGGCAACAGUUUGGGGCAGACACUGGUUGGCCGCUGGGACGGCAUUGGGUGAUGGCACGGUCGUUGGGGACGUUGGUUGGCCAGCGGGAUGGUAGCGCUGGUUGGCCAACGGGAUGGCGCUGAGGGUGCUGGUUGGCCAGUGAGAUGCUGGCGAGGGGGGUGGUUGGCCAAUGGAGGUCUGCGGCUGGUGGCGCUGGAUCUCCAUGGACGUCUCUGGUUGUCCGUGGCUGGUGGCGCUGGGUCUCCAUGGAUGGUGCUGGACAUCCCCGGAGGUCUCUGGUUACCCAUGGAUAGCGAUGAUUGCCCAUGGACGACGCUGGAUGUCCAUGGAUGGUGGCACUAGAUCUCCACGGACGUCUCCGGUUGCCCCAGGACAGUGCUGGACCUCUAUGGAUGUCUCUGGUUGCCCCUGGACGGUGCUAGAUCUCCACAGACGUCUCUGGUUGCCCACAGAUGGUGGCACUAGACCUCCAUGGAGGGUGCUGGACCUCCAUGGACGUCUCUGGUUGCCCCUAGACAGUGCUGGAUCUCCACAGAUGUCUCUAGUCGCCCACAGAUGGUG
RNAcentral lists this long non-coding RNA (664 nucleotides) under Struthio camelus australis. Its description in RNAcentral is "lncRNA (ENSSCUG00000004464.1)". The record is from RNAcentral. Lineage: Eukaryota; Metazoa; Chordata; Aves; Struthioniformes; Struthionidae.